GCAAGUCGAACGAGACCUUCGGGUCUAGUGGCGCACGGGUGCGUAACGCGUGGGAAUCUGCCCUUGGGUUCGGAAUAACAGUUGGAAACGACUGCUAAUACCGGAUGAUGACGUAAGUCCAAAGAUUUAUCGCCCAGGGAUGAGCCCGCGUAGGAUUAGCUAGUUGGUGAGGUAAAGGCUCACCAAGGCGACGAUCCUUAGCUGGUCUGAGAGGAUGAUCAGCCACACUGGGACUGAGACACGGCCCAGACUCCUACGGGAGGCAGCAGUGGGGAAUAUUGGACAAUGGGCGAAAGCCUGAUCCAGCAAUGCCGCGUGAGUGAUGAAGGCCUUAGGGUUGUAAAGCUCUUUUACCCGGGAUGAUAAUGACAGUACCGGGAGAAUAAGCUCCGGCUAACUCCGUGCCAGCAGCCGCGGUAAUACGGAGGGAGCUAGCGUUGUUCGGAAUUACUGGGCGUAAAGCGCACGUAGGCGGCGAUCUAAGUCAGAGGUGAAAGCCCGGGGCUCAACCCCGGAAUAGCCUUUGAGACUGGAUUGCUUGAAUCCAGGAGAGGUGAGUGGAAUUCCGAGUGUAGAGGUGAAAUUCGUAGAUAUUCGGAAGAACACCAGUGGCGAAGGCGGCUCACUGGACUGGUAUUGACGCUGAGGUGCGAAAGCGUGGG
Molecule: ribosomal RNA, 662 nt
Filed under: uncultured soil bacterium
Lineage: Bacteria
Description: bacterial SSU rRNA
Rfam family: Bacterial small subunit ribosomal RNA
Source: RNAcentral